Molecule: ribosomal RNA, 497 nt
Filed under: uncultured bacterium
Lineage: Bacteria
Description: partial 16S ribosomal RNA
Rfam family: Bacterial small subunit ribosomal RNA
Source: RNAcentral
GAUGAACGCUGGCGGCGUGCCUAAUACGUGCAAGUCGAGCGAAAAGAUGAGGAGCUUGUUCCUCUGUCGUUUGGGGCGGACGGGUGUGAAACAUGUGUAUAAUCCACUUAACAGUGUGGGAACAUCAGGGGAAAGGGGAGCAAAUCCCGGAUAAUAUACUGCACCAUAGGGUUCAAUAGUGAAUGACGGCUUUGGUGUCACUACUCGAUGCAUCUGCGCCGCAUUAGCUAGUUGGUACGGUAACGGCCUAUCACGGCGAGGAUGCGUGGGCGACGUGGGAGAGUGAUCGGCCACACUGGAACUGAGACGCGGUCCAGGCUACUGCGGGAGGCAGCAGUAGGGAAUCUGCCGCAGUGGGCGAAAGCCUGACGGAGCAGCGCCGCGUGUGUGAUGGAAGUCUUCGGAUCGGAAAACUCGGUUAUUAGGGAAGAACAAAUUUGGAAGGAGCUAAGCACGGCUUGACGGUACUUAAUCAGGAAGCCACGGCUAACUACGUG